UAAUACAGAGAGUGCAAACGUUGUUCGGAAUCACUGGGCUUAAAGCGCACGUAGGCGGCAUCGUAAGUGUCGGGUGAAAUCCCACGGCUCACCCGUGGAACUGCCCGGCAGACUGCGAUGCUAGAGUGUGGUAGGGGAAAGCGGAACUCCUGGUGGAGCGGUGAAAUGCGUAGAUAUCAGGAGGAACACCGGUGGCGAAGGCGGCUUUCUGGUCCACAACUGACGCUGAGGUGCGAAAGCUAGGGGAGCAAACGGG
This 256-nucleotide ribosomal RNA is filed under the name uncultured bacterium. RNAcentral's name for it is "partial 16S ribosomal RNA". It matches the Rfam family "Bacterial small subunit ribosomal RNA", at positions 521 to 776 of the family's 1533-position model. The record is from RNAcentral.